GACGAACGCUGGUGGCGUGCUUAACACAUGCAAGUCGAACGGAAAGGCCCUGCUUUUGUGGGGUGCUCGAGUGGCGAGCGGGUGAGUAACACGUGAGUAACCUGCCCUUGACUUUGGGAUAACUUCAGGAAACUGGGGCUAAUACCGGAUAGGAGCUCCUGCUGCAUGGUGGGGGUUGGAAAGUUUCGGCGGUUGGGGAUGGACUCGCGGCUUAUCAGCUUGUUGGUGGGGUAGUGGCUUACCAAGGCUUUGACGGGUAGCCGGCCUGAGAGGGUGACCGGCCACAUUGGGACUGAGAUACGGCCCAGACUCCUACGGGAGGCAGCAGUGGGGAAUAUUGCACAAUGGGCGGAAGCCUGAUGCAGCAACGCCGCGUGAGGGAUGACGGCCUUCGGGUUGUAAACCGCUUUCGCCUGUGACGAAGCGUGAGUGACGGUAAUGGGUAAAGAAGCACCGGCUAACUACGUGCCAGCAGCCGCGGUGAUACGUAGGGUGCGAGCGUUGUCCGGAUUUAUUGGGCGUAAAGGGCUCGUAGGUGGUUGAUCGCGUCGGAAGUGUAAUCUUGGGGCUUAACCCUGAGCGUGCUUUCGAUACGGGUUGACUUGAGGAAGGUAGGGGAGAAUGGAAUUCCUGGUGGAGCGGUGGAAUGCGCAGAUAUCAGGAGGAACACCAGUGGCGAAGGCGGUUCUCUGGGCCUUUCCUGACGCUGAGGAGCGAAAGCGUGGGGAGCGAACAGGCUUAGAUACCCUGGUAGUCCACGCUGUAAACGGUGGGUACUAGGUGUGGGGUCCAUUCCACGGGUUCCGUGCCGUAGCUAACGCUUUAAGUACCCCGCCUGGGGAGUACGGCCGCAAGGCUAAAACUCAAAGGAAUUGACGGGGCCCCGCACAAGCGGCGGAGCAUGCGGAUUAAUUCGAUGCAACGCGUAGAACCUUACCUGGGUUUGACAUGGAUCGGGAGCGCUCAGAGAUGGGUGUGCCUCUUUUGGGGUCGGUUCACAGGUGGUGCAUGGCUGUCGUCAGCUCGUGUCGUGAGAUGUUGGGUUAAGUCCCGCAACGAGCGCAACCCUUGUUCACUGUUGCCAGCACGUUAUGGUGGGGACUCAGUGGAGACCGCCGGGGUCAACUCGGAGGAAGGUGGGGAUGACGUCAAGUCAUCAUGCCCCUUAUGUCCAGGGCUUCACGCAUGCUACAAUGGCUGGUACAGAGAGUGGCGAGCCUGUGAGGGUGAGCGAAUCUCGGAAAGCCGGUCUCAGUUCGGAUUGGGGUCUGCAACUCGACCUCAUGAAGUCGGAGUCGCUAGUAAUCGCAGAUCAGCAACGCUGCGGUGAAUACGUUCCCGGG
Molecule: ribosomal RNA, 1343 nt
Filed under: uncultured bacterium
Lineage: Bacteria
Description: 16S ribosomal RNA
Rfam family: Bacterial small subunit ribosomal RNA
Source: RNAcentral